CCAGACUCCGCGGAGAAUGGAGAGACAAUGGAGAGAUGAGAAAACCAGCUGCAGAAAGGAACUACCCUCUCUGCUGACAGCUGGACACGCGGCAGGAUGACCUGCCUAGCAGAGAGAGCUACCCUCUCUGCUGAGAGCUGAACACUCAUGGGGACACCCUGGCUUCAGAGAGGAGCUGCCCACUUGAGAGACCUGGAGGAGACUUCAUGAUUUUAUUCAUCCCCCAAGAUUUCCUCAGGACUGGUACCAUUUUCCAUCACUGUCUUCUGCCGUCAGCAACAUGUGAGCUUUCUCCACAGCUGAUCCGUGUCUCUCUCUCACUGCGGGCUGCCACCCCACCAAAUCUUUGGCAUGGCUAAGGCAAGAACCUUUGGCGUUACAUUUUGGCAAGCCUGCCAGGAGGAUCUCCAGGAAAGGCAUCUGGACCAUCACGUGUUCGAGACCAUCAAGCUACAAGAGGUCUUACAAAUGGAAUCUCAAAUGAGCUCAACUCACGGCUUCUACCGAGGACCCCUGGAUCGACCCGCUGGUCCCUCACUAGGCUAAAAAGUUCCCCUCUGGAGGACACCACAACUGCAGGGCCCCUUCUUCGCCCCUAAUCAGCAGAAAGUAGCCAGAACGACAGCCGCCCAGGUCCCAACAGGAGUUGGGGUGUCCAAUCUAGAGGGGGAACUGAGAGGAGGUUCCAGCUGGGCUUCCUGGGUUGAGUAGGGGCUCAGAAAGUUGUGAAACUCACUCAUUUCUUACAUCAGGACUUACUUUGGUCCUGGAUGAAUAAUAUUGAAUAUAUAUGCUUAAAAUAUUCCUAACACCAGGAUUUGUGCAUGUGUUUUCUUCCCCAAGAAAGCUAUAAACAGCAAAACUUUUGCUGUAAGAAUCCCUGUGUCCUCACUCUUUCUCUCCCUUCCCCCUCCCCUAAAACUAAAAGGAAUGUUAAAAGUCCAUUUUUCUGUGACCAGCAGACCUUAUCUAUGCUCCCAAUUCUGAUUCCUU
This 993-nucleotide long non-coding RNA is filed under the name Homo sapiens (human). Lineage: Eukaryota; Metazoa; Chordata; Mammalia; Primates; Hominidae. The record is from RNAcentral.